Molecule: ribosomal RNA, 1575 nt
Filed under: Salmonella enterica
Lineage: Bacteria; Pseudomonadati; Pseudomonadota; Gammaproteobacteria; Enterobacterales; Enterobacteriaceae
Also listed under: 1 other name
Description: partial 23S ribosomal RNA
Rfam family: Bacterial large subunit ribosomal RNA
Source: RNAcentral
GGUUAAGCGACUAAGCGUACACGGUGGAUGCCCUGGCAGUCAGAGGCGAUGAAGGGCGUGCUAAUCUGCGAUAAGCGCCGGUAAGGUGAUAUGAACCGUUAUAACCGGCGAUACCCGAAUGGGGAAACCCAGUGUGAUUCGUCACACUAUCAUUAACUGAAUCCAUAGGUUAAUGAGGCGAACCGGGGGAACUGAAACAUCUAAGUACCCCGAGGAAAAGAAAUCAACCGAGAUUCCCCCAGUAGCGGCGAGCGAACGGGGAGGAGCCCAGAGCCUGAAUCAGCAUGUGUGUUAGUGGAAGCGUCUGGAAAGGCGCGCGAUACAGGGUGACAGCCCCGUACACAAAAGCGCAUGUGCUGUGAGCUCGAUGAGUAGGGCGGGACACGUGGUAUCCUGUCUGAAUAUGGGGGGACCAUCCUCCAAGGCUAAAUACUCCUGACUGACCGAUAGUGAACCAGUACCGUGAGGGAAAGGCGAAAAGAACCCCGGCGAGGGGAGUGAAAAAGAACCUGAAACCGUGUACGUACAAGCAGUGGGAGCACAGGUUUACCUGUGUGACUGCGUACCUUUUGUAUAAUGGGUCAGCGACUUAUAUUCUGUAGCAAGGUUAACCGAAUAGGGGAGCCGGAGGGAAACCGAGUCUUAACCGGGCGUUAAGUUGCAGGGUAUAGACCCGAAACCCGGUGAUCUAGCCAUGGGCAGGUUGAAGGUUGGGUAACACUAACUGGAGGACCGAACCGACUAAUGUUGAAAAAUUAGCGGAUGACCUGUGGCUGGGGGUGAAAGGCCAAUCAAACCGGGAGAUAGCUGGUUCUCCCCGAAAGCUAUUUAGGUAGCGCCUCGUGAAUUCAUCUCCGGGGGUAGAGCACUGUUUCGGCUAGGGGGCCAUCCCGGCUUACCAACCCGAUGCAAACUGCGAAUACCGGAGAAUGUUAUCACGGGAGACACACGGCGGGUGCUAACGUCCGUCGUGAAGAGGGAAACAACCCAGACCGCCAGCUAAGGUCCCAAAGUCAUGGUUAAGUGGGAAACGAUGUGGGAAGGCCCAGACAGCCAGGAUGUUGGCUUAGAAGCAGCCAUCAUUUAAAGAAAGCGUAAUAGCUCACUGGUCGAGUCGGCCUGCGCGGAAGAUGUAACGGGGCUAAACCAUGCACCGAAGCUGCGGCAGCGACACUGUGUGUUGUUGGGUAGGGGAGCGUUCUGUAAGCCUGUGAAGGUGUGUCGUGAGGCAUGCUGGAGGUAUCAGAAGUGCGAAUGCUGACAUAAGUAACGAUAAAGCGGGUGAAAAGCCCGCUCGCCGGAAGACCAAGGGUUCCUGUCCAACGUUAAUCGGGGCAGGGUGAGUCGACCCCUAAGGCGAGGCCGAAAGGCGUAGUCGAUGGGAAACGGGUUAAUAUUCCCGUACUUGGUGUUACUGCGAAGGGGGGACGGAGAAGGCUAUGUUGGCCGGGCGACGGUUGUCCCGGUUUAAGCGUGUAGGUGUGUGUUCCAGGUAAAUCCGGUUCACUUUAACACUGAGGCGUGACGACGAGGCACUACGGUGCUGAAGCAACAAAUGCCCUGCUUCCAGGAAAA